GACAGAGGGUGCAAACGUUGCUCGGAAUUACUGGGCGUAAAGCGCGUGUAGGCGGUUCCGCAAGUCAGGUGUGAAAGCCCAGGGCUCAACCCUGGAAGUGCACUUGAUACUACGGAGCUUGAGUACUGAAGAGGAGAGCGGAAUUCCAGGUGUAGCGGUGAAAUGCGUAGAUAUCUGGAGGAACACCGGUGGCGAAGGCGGCAUCCUGGACCGGCAUUGACGCUGAGGCGCGAAAGCCAGGGGAGCAAACGGG
This 253-nucleotide ribosomal RNA is filed under the name uncultured bacterium. RNAcentral's name for it is "partial 16S ribosomal RNA". It matches the Rfam family "Bacterial small subunit ribosomal RNA", at positions 524 to 776 of the family's 1533-position model. The record is from RNAcentral.